Molecule: non-coding RNA, 72 nt
Organism: Podarcis lilfordi (Lilford's wall lizard)
Lineage: Eukaryota; Metazoa; Chordata; Lepidosauria; Squamata; Lacertidae
Source: the annotation of a GenBank genome assembly
GGGCCACAGCUCAGUGGGUGAACAUCUGCUUUUGACUACAGAAAGUCCCAGGUUCAAUCCCUGGCAUCUCCA